This 3194-nucleotide long non-coding RNA is filed under the name Brassica napus (rape). Its description in RNAcentral is "long non-coding RNA (BNAP_LNC006400)". The record is from RNAcentral. Lineage: Eukaryota; Viridiplantae; Streptophyta; Magnoliopsida; Brassicales; Brassicaceae.
GAUGAUUGCGACCUGAACGUUAGGGUUCUUGCUGAUCUCGUAAGCACACGAUAGUCCAGCGGAGCCAGCACCAACGACGACGACGUCGGUCUCGGCGUAAGUGAUCAUAUCAGUCAUGUACCUCCUCGUCAUCUCGCGAGACACGAUGGACUCCUUGAUGGGGUCAAAAGUGAAGGCGUUCAGAUCGUAGCCAGCGGUGGCGCGGACGGAGAGGGAGCGCGGUUUGAGACCGACGGAGACAGGUGCGGCGGAGGAGAUGGAUGAGCCAUGGAAAUAGGAGUCGAAAAGGCGCUGAGGCUUGGUGGAAGAGAGGGAGAGAGUAGAGGUGAUGGACGCCAUAUUUGAGAGGUGUGUUUAUGUUUUGAGUGACGAUGAAGAUGAUGGUGGUGAAGUGAAACUGUGGUGGCUGUUGAAUAUUUAAAUUAGAAGAUGAAGAAAUAUCUGGAGAGUGAUGGCCACGUCAGAGAUAAGGCAUGAAGGGUCGUCGAUUUUUUGUUUUAUUUUUUAUAUAAAUGAAAUUAUUAAUUUCUGCCAUUAAUGGAAACAUUGGAAAGUAACGAUCUCCUUCCUUCACGGUUCGAAUUGAAUGAAGGAAGUUUUGAAAAUUUUCAUGACUUUUGAAAAAACCAAAGUUUAGUGAGAAAGUUAACAUACUUAUUUGUUUUUGUUACCCGAUUAAACCAGAAAUAUUUGCUUGUCUAAGAAAGAAAUAAAUCGUUUUGAUAUAUGUAGUUUAUGAAACAAUUAGAUUCAUAUAUUUUGUAUUAAAAUUCAGUUUGUGGUAAUUAAGAAAUAUCUCGAGACUUUUGUCUGGAAGUUUCUGUAACCAUUUGCACUGAGUGUGUGGUGACACGAACAACACCAGAAAGUGAGAUAUCUGUGUACGAUAGAUAUGGAUUUGGAUUUUACUAGUGAAAAGAUAGUUCACUAUUAUGGUGUCCUACGAAACAGAACAUGCAUGCAAACAAGUACAGCAGACCAAAGCUAAGUGAGCUGCUUGUGCUAGGUAAAACCAAUAGAGGAUCGGAGAACAACGCACAUUAAACCGAAUAAACGUUUUUAUUGAGAAGAAACAAAGACACCAGAAAAGUUCAUAACAUAAAUAGUCACAAGUUUUUUUAAAACACUCCUUUAUUGCAACUCCUUUCACAUAAAGAAGUAUCAAGGGGAAAUUUUCUUAGUUAAAAAAAACUUGUCCUUAAGCAUCUACGGUUUCAGCUGAAUCAGCAGCUGCUAAGACAAGCUCCGGGCUUAGGUCUCCGACAUACGAUCCAUCAAUAACAUUGGGCUGUCCCAAAGCUUUUAGAGCCAGAUGUGCCGCCUUCUGUCCUGAUAUCAUCAUAGCUCCGAACGUUGGUCCCUGCACAUCACAUAUUCAUUCACUCAGUAUAUCAUCCUACUAUAAAUGAUUGAUUCAAGGAAAGGGAAACAAACUCACCAUUCUUGGUGCACCAUCGAUCUCAGCAACUUCCAUACCGGUCACGAUCAUACCGGGAACAACCUCCCUGGUCAACCUCACAAUCGCAUCCUCAGCUGUGUUCAUGUCAAGAGCUUUCAUCCCAGGAACAUGGUCAAUCAACCCAAUGCUCUUCAACCUCUUCACACCGGUGGCUCCAAAGGGACCGUCGUGACCGCACGAGCUCACGACAAUCUUGGCCUCCAUGACGUUAGGGUCCAUGCAAGACUGUGUGUCGUGGUUCAUUGACACAAGAGCCCAGUUAGUCACCACACCGCCGACUCUGUUUCCUUUCACGAUCAGAUCCUCAGCGGCGACAGCGUUGAAGAGCUUGACGUUGGGACGAGCCAAAAGCUUGCUCAUGAUGGUGGAUGUGAAGAGAGCAGCGUGCUUGAUCACGACGUAGUUGUCUUGCUCAUCGUAGGCUACACCAAUCUCGUCAAGGAACAAGUGAGCUGGUUUGCGCACAAUCUGUUAAACACGGAUAUACAAUAACUUCAGUCUACUACACAUUACCAAUCACAUGCAAACCAAUCUAUGUACUUAAACACAUAAGAAGCUCUUAACACAGAGAGAGUUCGGAUAAAACAUUAUCAUGGGACAAUCUGUCCAACACAAACACACACAGGGCCCGCUAAAUCCCCCAGUAUCUUGAUAGCUUAAGGAUCAAAUAUUUUUUGUAUAUACAAAUUUUUAUAGAGAAAAUUUUAAAUAUUCACUAAAUUUGGUUGAAAAGUAGGCAUAUUUUAUGUGUACAUAAUUUGUUUUCAUCACAAAUUUUAUAAAGAUGUUGAUGAUAAAAUAAUUAAAAAAUAUUUUAAAAAACAUAAAUAUUAAAAACUUCAAUUUUUUUGCGCAUGAGUCCAAAUAAAUAUUGAGCCGUCCCUGAAUAUACAAUAACUCCAGUCCAGAGCAUACAUAUUCGCAUAUGACAUCCAAUAUAUUAAUGGUUAGUAUGUAUUAUAUCAUUCAGUCCUAAAUGAUUUUAAAAUAUAUGUGUUUAGUAAUUGUUUAAGCCUAAUAAUCUCAGAGCCCGCCUUGGCUUCCAUGAACACAAAUUAAUUAAACCAAACCUUAGUAGUUCCUCAGUAGUGUGACAUGCAAGUUAGUCUAAGUACUGAAACACUAUAUAGCAAGCUCUUACCACAAAGAGAGUUCGAAUAAAACAUUACCAUGGCGGAGAAAAGCUGACCACCGAGCCACGCGCCACCACCAGGACUGACAGAUUGCUCGAUGAUUGCGACCUGAACGUUAGGGUUCUUGCUGAUCUCGUAAGCACACGAUAGUCCAGCGGAGCCAGCACCAACGACGACGACGUCGGUCUCGGCGUAAGUGAUCAUAUCAGUCAUGUACCUCCUCGUCAUCUCGCGAGACACGAUGGACUCCUUGAUGGGGUCAAAAGUGAAGGCGUUCAGAUCGUAGCCAGCGGUGGCGCGGACGGAGAGGGAGCGCGGUUUGAGACCGACGGAGACAGGUGCGGCGGAGGAGAUGGAUGAGCCAUGGAAAUAGGAGUCGAAAAGGCGCUGAGGCUUGGUGGAAGAGAGGGAGAGAGUAGAGGUGAUGGACGCCAUAUUUGAGAGGUGUGUUUAUGUUUUGAGUGACGAUGAAGAUGAUGGUGGUGAAGUGAAACUGUGGUGGCUGUUGAAUAUUUAAAUUAGAAGAUGAAGAAAUAUCUGGAGAGUGAUGGCCACGUCAGAGAUAAGGCAUGAAGGGUCGUCGAUUUUUUGUUUUAUUUUUU